This 27-nucleotide non-coding RNA is filed under the name Bombyx mori (domestic silkworm). Lineage: Eukaryota; Metazoa; Arthropoda; Insecta; Lepidoptera; Bombycidae. The record is from RNAcentral.
UUGCAUCCACGGUCGAACGGCCCUCCC